UACGUAGGGGGCUAGCGUUGUCCGGAAUCAUUGGGCGUAAAGAGCGUGUAGGCGGCUCGGUAAGUCCGCUGUAAAAGUCAAAGGCUCAACCUUUGAAUGUCAGUGGAUACUGCCGGGCUAGAGUCCGGAAGAGGCGAGUGGAACUCCUGGUGUAGCGGUGAAAUGCGCAGAUAUCGGGAGGAACACCUAUGGCGAAGGCAGCUCGCUGGGACGGUACUGACGCUGAGACGCGAAAGCGUGGGGAGCAAACAGG
This 253-nucleotide ribosomal RNA is filed under the name uncultured bacterium. RNAcentral's name for it is "partial 16S ribosomal RNA". It matches the Rfam family "Bacterial small subunit ribosomal RNA", at positions 524 to 776 of the family's 1533-position model. The record is from RNAcentral.